UACGGAGGGUGCAAGCGUUGUUCGGAAUCACUGGGCGUAAAGGGCGUGUAGGCGGUCCGCUAAGUCUGAUGUGAAAGCCCGGGGCUCACCCCCGGAAGGGCAUUGGAAACUGGCGGACUCGAGUCCCGGAGAGGAAGGUGGAAUUCCUGGUGUAGCGGUGAAAUGCGUAGAUAUCAGGAGGAACACCAGUGGCGAAGGCGACUACCUGGCCUGUUCUUGACGCUGAGGCGCGAAAGCUAGGGGAGCAAACGGG
Molecule: ribosomal RNA, 253 nt
Filed under: uncultured bacterium
Lineage: Bacteria
Description: partial 16S ribosomal RNA
Rfam family: Bacterial small subunit ribosomal RNA
Source: RNAcentral